UGGGGAAUCUUGCACAAUGGGCGCAAGCCUGAUGCAGCAACGCCGCGUGCGGGAAGACGGCCCUAGGGUUGUAAACCGCUUUCAGGAGGGAAGAAAAUGACGGUACCUCCAGAAGAAGGUGCGGCCAACUACGUGCCAGCAGCCGCGUGACACGUAGGCACCAAGCGUUAUCCGGAUUUAUUGGGCGUAAAGAGCUCGUAGGCGGUUCGGUAAGUCGGUGUGAAAUCCAAGCUCAACCUGGACGCACCGAUACUGCUGUGACUCGAGUGCAGUAGGGGGAGCAGGGAAUUCCUGGUGUAGCGGUGAAAUGCGCAGAUAUCAGGAGGAACACCAGUGGCGAAGGCGCCGCUCUGGGCCGUAACUGACGCUGAGGAGCGAAAGCAUGGGUAGCAAAACAGGAUUAGAUACCCUGGUAGUCCAUGCCGUAAACGUUGGGCACUAGGUGUGGGUCUCAACCAACGAGAUCCGCGCCGUCGCUAACGCAUUAAGUGCCCCGCCUGGGGAGUACGGUCGCAAGACUAAAACUCAAAGGAAUUGA
RNAcentral lists this ribosomal RNA (538 nucleotides) under uncultured bacterium. RNAcentral's name for it is "bacterial SSU rRNA". It matches the Rfam family "Bacterial small subunit ribosomal RNA", at positions 355 to 913 of the family's 1533-position model. The record is from RNAcentral.